CAUGGCCACGAGAGGGCGGCAGAGGGUCCAGGCGGAAGGUGAGGCGCGGGCACCUCACCUCGUACUCCAGGUAUUCCUUCCGCAAGCGGUAGUCCUCCAGCUCUCGGCCGCGGCCCCGCCGCUCCGGUAAGUUUCUCUGCAGAUCCAGCAGGUCGUCGGAGGCAGCAUCCAGGCAGCUCUCGUGGGAUCGAUGCUGCUCCUCCUGGAAGCGGGAGGCAGUGGGGGAAGCUGCUCCAAGCCCUCCCACUCCGUUCCGGGCCCAGGGCACACGGGCUCAGAAAAGAGGUCUGCAUCAGUUGCUCGUCCCCCCGUGCUGCCCAUCGCGGGUGCAGACUCCCUCCCUACCUUCAGGAAGUAGAGGACCAUCCCUCGCAGGACGGUGUGGAGCAUCUUCCAGCCGCGCUUGCCCCACGGCGCUGCCCCAGGAGCAGAACACAAAGGUGUUCCCUGGCCCACUGCACCCUCUUCUGAGACUGGCCCGCUGCCCCGCCUCCAGCUCCACCCACGCAGACGGGAGCACUGUCCAGGGGCCCAAGUUCUCCAACUCAGGAGGCAGCCCACGCAUCCGCGCAUCCACGCACACAUGCAGCAACGUACGGGGCAUUUGCCGUGUGCCGAGCACUGUGCUGGGAGCUAGAGACACAAGGAUGAUCAAAGCAAUCCUCGUCCUUACUUGAGCUUAGCGAGGCCUGAACUAGUUCCCUUGAAGGGGAAACGAAUCACCCACACACCAUCCUGCCCAGAGGGAUCUGACGCUACAGGAGCAGCUGACUACAGGGGCAGUCAGUGUACGAGAAGGCCCCCACGUGUUACCGGAGCGCACGGUCCAGGCUCUGGCCUCCGAACUGGAAGAAGGACAGGUAAGCGGCCACUUCGGACUUCCGGAAGCCCUCCAGGCGAUAGAGGCGGGAGGCCAAGUUCCAGGCCACCUUGUCGGUCCUGACGCCAUUCGCCAGCUUGUCUCCAGCAGGGGGCCUUUGGCCUUCCUCUGGGGGCUGCGCUUGGGGCACGGGGCUCUCAGGAAGCCUGCGAAAGUCCAUCGGUGACCUCAGACUCCCGCUUGGGAUGGAUACAAAGGGGCUCUGGGUCAAGCGUCCUUGGGGUCAGUCGUAGGGGCAGGUGUGCCUAGAGUCCAUGCCCAGAGCUCAGGGCAGGAGCUGGAGCUCCAGGGCCUCAUGUGGCCGGGGAAGAGCCAGACCAGGGCCUCCCCCGGGGAAGAGGCAGGGUCACAGCCUGCCUGGCCUGACCUGGGCACCAGGAGGACCCAGAGAGGACAGUAUUCACACAAAGCUAGCAAGGGCCGGAGCCGAGCUUGGUACCAGCAUUUCCUCAGGUGGCAGGUGCAGCCCUUUGAAGACCCCAGUGGUGUUUAGUCCGUCCCAAGGAGGGGUGGGAAUACCUCCCCAGAUGUCAGCAGCCACCUGUGUCCCUCACCUGUCCUGCCCUCCCCAUCAUGCCUCCUUGCCCCCCUUCCCCUCCCCCAGCUCCAGCCUCCAGCCUCCACUCCUAGAUCUGGAGCCAAGGAAGGUGCAAGGGUGAAGCAAGAAUGGAAAGCGAGACCGGCUUUAGGAAUGGUGACAGCUGGGAUUGCCACAGGUGGUUUCCAACCCCUGCCUUCCCGUAUCGGCAGCCCUGUGGUAGAGAAGGGGGCCUUCCAGCAGGGGCUUUGGAUGGUGCCCUACAGAGGGUGCACAGGCCCCAGCAACCCUCACGGUAGACUCAGAGGACACUCAGAAUCUCAGAAGUCACCCGGCCCAAUCUCUCCCUGACUCUUGCGUUUUCCCUGCAACAUUGCAACCAGGUAUUGGGGUAUCCUCGUUAGUGGAAUGGUCAUCAUCCAGGUUACUGCAGUCAGGGAGUUGUACAGAUAAGCAAAACUUAUCACAGUAUGAAAAUGUUCACCGACAGACUACCCACUUAUAAAAUCCAGCUGCACUUGACAGCCCUUUCCACUUAACACAAAUGUACGUCUCUGCCCCCAACUGGGUCAGCGUCUUUGCUGGUAACUUCUCACUGCUUCCUGAGGCUCAUUCACAUCCAACAAGGCAGGGCAAACAUAAUGGAAGCCAAUUGAAAAGUGAAAUUACAAAUCUUGCCAAAAAGGAUUUUAUGAAGGCCAUGAAAGUGAGGCUGGAAGAUUCCAGGGAUCACCUGGGAAGCCACUGACAAGUGAGGAACGGGAAGAGUUAGUCCAGUGAACAACUGAAGAGGAGAAAAUAAUGACACGCUUGUCACAUCUAAAGAGAACUACUUAGAUUAUCAGCUGACAAAGCCCUCAAAUACUUUUACAAAAAUGACCUAGUCAGUGAGUGUUGUUACUAAAAUAAUAUCUAGAUGGGAAGGCACUUUGAGGAAAAAAACCCCACAGGGCAAAUAUAAAUUGUUAUGGAAUUGUAUACUUUAAAUGGAUGGAUUGUAUAGUAUGUGAAUUAUAUCUUAAU
Long non-coding RNA from Eubalaena glacialis (North Atlantic right whale), 2441 nucleotides. RefSeq lists it as uncharacterized. Lineage: Eukaryota; Metazoa; Chordata; Mammalia; Artiodactyla; Balaenidae. The record is from RefSeq and is a predicted model, not a curated record. The transcript has 6 exons.